This is a regulatory RNA element of Cavia porcellus (domestic guinea pig), 46 nucleotides long. It matches the Rfam family "Histone 3' UTR stem-loop". Rfam says of the family: The mRNAs of metazoan histone genes lack a poly-A tail. 3' end processing occurs at a site between a highly conserved stem-loop (modelled by this family) and a purine rich region around 20 nts downstream (the histone downstream element, or HDE). Lineage: Eukaryota; Metazoa; Chordata; Mammalia; Rodentia; Caviidae. The record is from Rfam.
CAAAAGGCCCUUUUCAGGGCCACCCACAAUGAUCACAAAAAGAAGG